GACGAACGCUGGCGGCGUGCUUAACACAUGCAAGUCGAACGGAAAGGCCCUGCUUUUGUGGGGUGCUCGAGUGGCGAACGGGUGAGUAACACGUGAGUAACCUGCCCUUGACUUUGGGAUAACUUCAGGAAACUGGGGCUAAUACCGGAUAGGAGCUCCUGCUGCAUGGUGGGGGUUGGAAAGUUUCGGCGGUUGGGGAUGGACUCGCGGCUUAUCAGCUUGUUGGUGGGGUAGUGGCUUACCAAGGCUUUGACGGGUAGCCGGCCUGAGAGGGUGACCGGCCAAAAUGGGACUGAGAUACGGCCCAGACUCCUACGGGAGGAAGCAGUGGGGAAUAUUGCACAAUGGGCGGAAGCCUGAUGCAGCAACGCCGCGUGCGGGAUGACGGCCUUCGGGUUGUAAACCGCUUUCGCCUGUGACGAAGCGUGAGUGACGGUAAUGGGUAAAGAAGCACCGGCUAACUACGUG
RNAcentral lists this ribosomal RNA (468 nucleotides) under uncultured bacterium. Its description in RNAcentral is "partial 16S ribosomal RNA". It matches the Rfam family "Bacterial small subunit ribosomal RNA", at positions 28 to 507 of the family's 1533-position model. The record is from RNAcentral.